Molecule: ribosomal RNA, 501 nt
Filed under: uncultured bacterium
Lineage: Bacteria
Description: partial 16S ribosomal RNA
Rfam family: Bacterial small subunit ribosomal RNA
Source: RNAcentral
AUUGAACGCUGGCGGCAGGCUUAACACAUGCAAGUCGAGCGGGGGAAGGUAGCUUGCCACCGGACCUAGCGGCGGACGGGUGAGUAAUGCUUAGGAAUCUGCCUAUUAGUGGGGGACAACAUCUCGAAAGGGAUGCUAAUACCGCAUACGUCCUACGGGAGAAAGCAGGGGAUCUUCGGACCUUGAGCUAAUAGAUGAGCCUAAGUCGGAUUAGCUAGUUGGUGGGGUAAAGGCCUACCAAGGCGACGAUCUGUAGCGGGUCUGAGUGGAUGUGCCGUCACACUGGGACUGAGAAACUGCCCAGACUCCUACGGGAGGCAGCAGUGGGGAAUAUUGGACAAUGGGGGGGACCCUGAUCUAGCCAUGCCGCGUGUGUGAAGAAGGCCUUAUGGUUGUACAGCACUUUAAGCGAGGAGGAGGCUACUCUAGUUAAUACCUAGGGAUAGUGGACGUUACUCGCAGAAUAAGCACCGGCUAACUCUGUGCCAGCCGCCGCGGUAA